AUUGAACGCUGGCGGCAUGCUUUACACAUGCAAGUCGAACGGCAGCGCGGGCUUCGGCCUGGCUGCGAGUGGCGGACGGGUGAGUAAUGCAUCGGAACGUGCCCAGUAGUGGGGGAUAGCCCGGCGAAAGCCGGAUUAAUACCGCAUACGACCUGAGGGUGAAAGCGGGGGACCGAAAGGCCUCGCGCUCUUGGAGCGGCCGAUGUCGGAUUAGCUAGUUGGUGGGGUAAAGGCCUACCAAGGCGACGAUCCGUAGCUGGUCUGAGAGGACGACCAGCCACACUGGGACUGAGACACGGCCCAGACUCCUACGGGAGGCAGCAGUGGGGAAUUUUGGACAAUGGGGGCAAGCCUGAUCCAGCCAUGCCGCGUGCGGGAAGAAGGCCUUCGGGUUGUAAACCGCUUUUGUUCGGGAAGAAAUCCUCUGGGCUAAUACCCCGGGGGGAUGACGGUACCGGAAGAAUAAGCACCGGCUAACUACGUG
RNAcentral lists this ribosomal RNA (484 nucleotides) under uncultured bacterium. RNAcentral's name for it is "partial 16S ribosomal RNA". It matches the Rfam family "Bacterial small subunit ribosomal RNA", at positions 28 to 507 of the family's 1533-position model. The record is from RNAcentral.